Molecule: RNA transcript, 1351 nt
Organism: Pistacia vera
Lineage: Eukaryota; Viridiplantae; Streptophyta; Magnoliopsida; Sapindales; Anacardiaceae
Exons: 4
Source: RefSeq, a predicted model, not a curated record
AAAGAACAGGACAUGUCAGGCGUUAGCAAUCCACCGCAAGAGGAAGACAAGAAGCCGAACGAUCAAUCGGCUUACAUCAACCUCAAAGUCAAAGGCCAGUGGGUUUGUUUUUGUUUUGAGAAAUAGAGUACAAAGACCCAUAUCAACAUCAAGUUCGUCUCUUUGCUUGUUAACUUGAAAAAGAUGAAAGAGAUAAACGGUAACGGUAGAAGAGAUGAUGAAUUGAAGGGUUUGAUCUGGAAGCUUCCUCAAAUUAAGCUCAAGGACCUCGCUAAAAUGGGUUCUGCUUUCUGCGUUGGCACUGGUUGCAGCAUUGGUCUUGUUGGAGAUUCGGCAUCGUUAUUUGAUUGUAAGAACAAAUUAUGAUCAUAUAAACAAAUGUCAAUAUAAUUAGGCCCGCCGUCAUAGGAGCGAUUACUACUUUCAGUAGAAGAGGAAGUUUCAACGUUUUUCUAGACUUGGAGUUCGUCAUACACCUUGUUGGUCAACAUUGCCUGUAUCUUCCCCUGCAUUGAUGGCUUCAAGUAGUGUUGGAUCAAACGAGCAAAAUCCACUGGCACAACAAUUCUUCCACAAGGGACUUCCUGACAAGGAGCUGUAUGAAGUCAUAUUUGAGAAGCAAACUGCCAUAGGCAGAUAUGCGUACACAUCUACGUCUCAACCGGUGGAGAACGUCACUUCUUCCAAUCAAAGAUAGGUUGACAUUGAGGAUAGUGACUUCGAACCUGAUCCGGAUCGGACGACAGGGGAAAAACGGCCAAACACAUCUGGUCAUGGAAGAUCGAGAAAUAGGAGGAAGAGAAGCGACCCAGGACUGACACUUGUGGAUGUCGUUGACAGAUUGACAAACGUGCUUGUGGAGAGCAAGAGUAUGGGAUCAAGGGCCAGCAAUCGCAGUGGAGCUGAGGGGGACGAGGAGAACACCGGUGCUCUAUCUGAUCUUUUUUCCAUGAGCCAUUGUAUUGACAUCUUGGCGGCUAUGCAAGUACCCACAGAGUUUUACAUGCCGGUUGUCAAGUACUUAUAUCAAAAUCCAGGGUGGCGGGAGGUAUUCGUAAAACUCCCAUCCGAGGAAAAGGCUAAUUGGAUUUAUAACGACUUUCGUAAUUUGUAGAUGGCCUUGUAUGUCCUAAUUGUUUGCCCACAGUUUUGUAUGUGCUAGUGGACACUUAUUUUUUCAUGGCUAAACCAAACUUUUGUCCUCAAAUAUCUGCUACUGUAUGAACUUAUUCAUUGUACUAUUAUUUUAUGUGAGAUAACAUGUUUCAUAUGAGUUUGGGAUUGUAAUUAGAAUUAAAAAUUUACUGUUAUAUUUUGUUAAGUACUACACUAUUAAAUGUUGAUCAAUGUU